UACGUAGGUGACAAGCGUUGUCCGGAUUUACUGGGCGUAAAGAGCGCGCAGGCGGUCGUUCAAGUCGAGUGUGAAAGCCCCCGGCUCAACUGGGGAGGGUCAUUCGAUACUGAUCGACUCGAAGGCAGGAGAGGGAAGUGGAGUUCCCGGUGUAGUGGUGAAAUGCGUAGAUAUCCGGAGGAACACCGGUGGCGAAGGCGGCUUCCUGGACCGGCAUUGACGCUGAGGCGCGAAAGCCAGGGGAGCAAACGGG
RNAcentral lists this ribosomal RNA (253 nucleotides) under uncultured bacterium. Its description in RNAcentral is "partial 16S ribosomal RNA". It matches the Rfam family "Bacterial small subunit ribosomal RNA", at positions 524 to 776 of the family's 1533-position model. The record is from RNAcentral.